Molecule: ribosomal RNA, 492 nt
Filed under: uncultured bacterium
Lineage: Bacteria
Description: partial 16S ribosomal RNA
Rfam family: Bacterial small subunit ribosomal RNA
Source: RNAcentral
AGUGAACGCUGGCGGUAGGCCUAACACAUGCAAGUCGAACGGCAGCACAGUAAGAGCUUGCUCUUACGGGUGGCGAGUGGCGGACGGGUGAGGAAUACAUCGGAAUCUACUUUUUCGUGGGGGAAAACGUAGGGAAACUUACGCUAAUACCGCAUACGACCUACGGGUGAAAGAAGGGGAUCUUCGGACCUUGCGCGAUUGAAUGAGCCGAUGUCGGAUUAGCUAGUUGGCGGGGUAAAGGCCCACCAAGGCGACGAUCCGUAGCUGGUCUGAGAGGAUGAUCAGCCACACUGGAACUGAGACACGGUCCAGACUCCUACGGGAGGCAGCAGUGGGGAAUAUUGGACAAUGGGCGCAAGCCUGAUCCAGCCAUACCGCGUGGGUGAAGAAGGCCUUCGGGUUGUAAAGCCCUUUUGUUGGGAAAGAAGAGCAGCAGGUUAAUACCCCGCUGUUCUGACGGUACCCAAAGAAUAAGCACCGGCUAACUUCGUG